AACGCGAAGAACCUUACCAGGGCUUGACAUUGAGUGAAAGGCCAAGAGAUUGGUCCCUCUCUUCGGAGACACGAAAACAGGUGGUGCAUGGCUGUCGUCAGCUCGUGUCGUGAGAUGUUGGGUUAAGUCACGCAACGAGCGCAACCCCUAUCAUUUGUUGCCAGCACGUCAAGGUGGGAACUCAAAUGAGACUGCCGCGGACAACGCGGAGGAAGGCGGGGAUGACGUCAAGUCAUCAUGCCCCUUAUGUCCUGGGCUACACACGUACUACAAUGGGAUGGACAGAGAGCAGCGACCCCGCGAGGGCAAGCGAACCCCAUAAACCAUCUCCCAGUUCGGAUUGCAGGCUGCAACCCGCCUGCAUGAAGUCGGAAUCGCUAGUAAUCGCUGGUCAGCAUACAGCGGUGAAUACGUUCCGGGGUCUUGUACACACCG
RNAcentral lists this ribosomal RNA (435 nucleotides) under uncultured rumen bacterium. RNAcentral's name for it is "bacterial SSU rRNA". It matches the Rfam family "Bacterial small subunit ribosomal RNA", at positions 958 to 1392 of the family's 1533-position model. The record is from RNAcentral.